RNAcentral lists this long non-coding RNA (1529 nucleotides) under Olea europaea subsp. europaea. The record is from RNAcentral. Lineage: Eukaryota; Viridiplantae; Streptophyta; Magnoliopsida; Lamiales; Oleaceae.
GAAAUUUGUAUGGGUUUGGCUAGAGACCUUUAUGAAACCACUUAAUAACUUCCAUUCAUCAUAGAAGUUAUGAAAGAUAUUAAACUCACCAUUUUAUUUUCUUCAUCUUUGGAAUUGAAUAUGUGACCAUAAAGGGUUACAUACCUUGUAUUUACUCUGAUAGUUUACUUUCUAUAAAACAAGAUUACGGAAUUUUGAAAUCAGGUUGGUUAAAAAUUCAAAUAUUAAACUCUGCAGUAUGUAUAUAACAUAACAAUCAAUUGCAGGCAGGCAAUGGAGCUCCACAGAGGCAUUUGUUGUGGAAAUAAGAACUAACGUCAAAGAUCCGCAAUUUUCUACCCAUUAGAAUCUGACCACAUAAUCUGUUAUAACUCACAUUCAAAUACAGCAAAUUCGAAUUUGUCAAAUCCUGCUGCAGACUCCUACUAAUCCUAUUAUGAUUCAAAUCCAAGGAUUGUAAGCUGUCAGGAAACUGCACCUUUGACAGAUCAAACUCAAACAUUUUCCUCGAAAAAUCGACCAUUUGGAGUCUUGUUUCUGCCAAACAAGAAUGAGAUGUCACCUACAAGGUUAUUGCGCGAAAAGUCGAGGUCAGUAAAAUUCAAGUCUCCUAAUGAUCUUGGAACCGAACCUGUGAGGUUGUUGGGGAGAGAUAAAGAUCAGGUACUUUUCCAAUGAAUUUUCCAAAGGAUUCUGGGAUGUUACCAGUGAGUUGUUCCAGUCUAAGUGAAGGGCUUCGAGGUUUUGGAGUAGUGAAAUUUCAGGCGGGAUUGAACCGGUUAGGUCAUUGAAGGAUAAGUCAAGAAAAUAUAAGUUCUUGAGUUGACUAAGGAAUGUAGGCACCGGUCCAGAUAAGUUGGCAUAACUAAGUCUAAGCAAUCUGAGAUUGGUUAAUUUUGCAAUGGCAGGUUGGAUUUGGCCGGUAAGGUUGGUAAGUUUCCUGAAUACUAAGUUUUCGAGGAACGGAAGGUCUCCUAUGGCUGCUGGAAUUUGGUUGGAAAGGUUCGCGUGGAAAAGAUCGAAUGUAACAAUCCGAUUUGUAUUCGGGUCGCAUCCCACACCAUACCAAUCUUCACAACAAUCUGUCUUGGGAUCCCAUGAGUUGAAUCGAGCAGGGUUUAGGACUUGUUUGAUCUGUAAGAGGAUUUUUUUCUCAUUUGGAUUGCACUUUUUGGAGAGACAAAAAAUUGGUAGAGACAAGAAAAUUAAGAGAAUACAAAGGAUGUGGAAAUUCAUGCUGUUUUUGUAUACUGGCAUGUUUGAGCCAUAUGGGAGUUUAUGUAGAGGAGGAAAUUUUGACUUUUAAGUCAAAUAAUUGCUUCUUUAAAUCUGAUGGCUGAAAUAGAUAAUGAGGGUGACAACUGACAACUGGUACCCAAUGAAAAUGGGGUUUUCAUACUGUGUGUUCUAUUGAAUAAAAAUGAAACAAUUGUUUUAUUAUUCUCUCCAAAACUUGUGUCUUUCCCACCCUCCAGAAAAGAAUGGAUUGGUGGGCUAUUAUUUGUUUUGUGCAGUAAUGAACUAUGAAC